RNAcentral lists this ribosomal RNA (505 nucleotides) under uncultured bacterium. RNAcentral describes it as "bacterial SSU rRNA". It matches the Rfam family "Bacterial small subunit ribosomal RNA", at positions 791 to 1304 of the family's 1533-position model. The record is from RNAcentral.
UAGUCCACGCCCUAAACGAUGCUUACUCGAUGUGUGCACUUGUUGUGCGCGUCCAAGGGAAACCGUUAAGUAAGCCACCUGGGGAGUACGUUCGCAAGAAUGAAACUCAAAGGAAUUGACGGGGGCCCGCACAAGCGGUGGAGCAUGUGGUUUAAUUCGAUGAUACGCGAGGAACCUUACCAGGGCUUAAAUGCAGAAUGACAGUUUGGGAAACCAGAUUUUCUUCGGACAUUUUGCAAGGUGCUGCAUGGUUGUCGUCAGCUCGUGCCGUGAGGUGUCAGGUUAAGUCCUAUAACGAGCGCAACCCCUAUCUUUAGUUGCCAGCGGUUCGGCCGGGGACUCUAAAGAAACUGCCAGCGCAAGCUGUGAGGAAGGUGGGGAUGACGUCAAAUCAUCACGGCCCUUACGUCCUGGGCUACACACGUGCUACAAUGGUAAUGACAGAGGGCAGCCACCACGCGAGUGGGAGCGAAUCCUUAAACAUUAUCUCAGUUCGGAUUGGAGU